Molecule: ribosomal RNA, 497 nt
Filed under: uncultured bacterium
Lineage: Bacteria
Description: partial 16S ribosomal RNA
Rfam family: Bacterial small subunit ribosomal RNA
Source: RNAcentral
GAUGAACGCUGGCGGCGUGCCUAAUACAUGCAAGUCGAGCGAACAGAUGAGGAGCUUGCUCCUCUGACGUUAGCGGCGGACGGGUGAGUCACACGUGGAUAACCUCCCUAUAAGACUGGGAUAACUACGGGAAACCGGAGCUAAUACCGGAUAAUAUAUUGAACCGCAUGGUUCAUUAGUGAAAGACGGUUUUGCUGUCACUUCUAGCUGGAUCCGCGCCGCAUUAGCUAGUUGGUAAGGUAACGGCUUACCAAGGCAACGAUGCGUAGCCGACCUGAGAGGGUGAUCGGCCACACUGGAACUGAGACAGGGUCCAGACUCCUACGGGAGGCAGCAGUAGGGAAUCUUCCGCAAUGGGCGAAAGCCUGACGGAGCAACGCCGCGUGAGUGAUGAAGGUCUUCGGAUCGUAAAACUCUGUUAUUAGGGAAGAACAAAUGUGUAAGUAACUAUGCACGUCUGGACGGUACCUAAGCAGAAAGCCACGGCUAACUACGUG